Molecule: long non-coding RNA, 418 nt
Organism: Fukomys damarensis (Damara mole-rat)
Lineage: Eukaryota; Metazoa; Chordata; Mammalia; Rodentia; Bathyergidae
Exons: 2
Source: RefSeq, a predicted model, not a curated record
GGGGGCAGGUGAGGGGAGAGAGAGAGAGAGAGAAAGAGAGAGAGAGAGAGAGGAAGGUAAGCAAGAAAUCUGUAAAGCUGAAAGGGAUCACCAAGAGGGCAGGGACUUAAUCUUGUUAAAUUAGUUCCUUAACUGCAUCCUAUGACAGCAAUACUUUUUCUUUCUUUCUUUUUCUGUGACAGGAAUUCUUGAUUCAGGUUUCAUAGGUUUGUAGGGUUGGUAACCCGAAACUACAGACACAUUUCGUGCUCAUGUGACUUUGGCAAAAGGGAUCAUGGCCAAGGAAGGAAGCGACAAGCUGAUUACCAGUGUCACCCUCACCAACCCCCACCCAGCAAAGGUACCCAGGCAAACCUUCUGUUUCCAGGGCUCCCAGGGUUGCUAGUCUUGCAGCUUUCAAUCCAAGUCCCAAGUAACU